GUCUGUUUGAAGGUAUAAAUAGUCUAACCUGCCCACUGAUAGAAGAAUUUUAAAGGGCCGCGGUAUUAUGACCGUGCAAAGGUAGCAUAGUCAUUAGGUUUUUAAAUGGAAUCUUGUAUGAACGGUUGAACAAGAGAAAAACUGUUUUUAUAUUAAAGUUUGAAUUUAACUUUUAAGUGAGAAGGCUUAAAUAUUCUAGAGGGACGAUAAGACCCUAUAAAACUUUAUAUUGUAAUUUUAUUUAGUUAAAUUUAAGUAAUAAAGAUUUAAUUUAAUUAUUUUAUUAUGUUGGGGAGACGGAGGCAAAAUUUAUAUUAACUGUUUAGUAGACAUACAAUUAUAAUUGGUAUUAAUAUAAUUAAUAGAUCCUGAUUAUAGAUUUAAAGAUUAAGUUACUUUAGGGAUAACAGUGUAAUUUUUUUUAAGAGUUCAUAUUGAAAAAAAAGUUUGCAACCUCGAUGUUGAAUUAAGAUAUCUAUAUAAUGUAGUUGUUAUAUAAGAAGGUCUGUUCGACCUUUAAUUUUUU
This 526-nucleotide ribosomal RNA is filed under the name Gecarcinucus jacquemontii. Its description in RNAcentral is "partial 16S ribosomal RNA". It matches the Rfam family "Bacterial large subunit ribosomal RNA", at positions 1831 to 2597 of the family's 2925-position model. Lineage: Eukaryota; Metazoa; Arthropoda; Malacostraca; Decapoda; Gecarcinucidae. The record is from RNAcentral.